GACGAACGCUGGCGGCGUGCUUAACACAUGCAAGUCGAACGGAAAGGCCCUGCUUUUGUGGGGUGCUCGAGUGGCGAACGGGUGAGUAACACGUGAGUAACCUGCCCUUGACUUUGGGAUAACUUCAGGAAACUGGGGCUAAUACCGGAUAGGAGCUCCUGCUGCAUGGUGGGGGUUGGAAAGUUUCGGCGGUUGGGGAUGGACUCGCGGCUUAUCAGCUUGUUGGUGGGGUAGUGGCUUACCAAGGCUUUGACGGGUAGCCGGCCUGAGAGGGUGACCGGCGACAUUGGGACUGAGAGACGGCGCAGACUCCUACGGGAGGCAGCAGUGGGGAAUAUUGCACAAUGGGCGGAAGCCUGAUGCAGCAACGCCGCGUGCGGGAUGACGGCCUUCGGGUUGUAAACCGCUUUCGCCUGUGACGAAGCGUGAGUGACGGUAAUGGGUAAAGAGGCACCGGCUAACUACGUG
This 468-nucleotide ribosomal RNA is filed under the name uncultured bacterium. RNAcentral describes it as "partial 16S ribosomal RNA". It matches the Rfam family "Bacterial small subunit ribosomal RNA", at positions 28 to 507 of the family's 1533-position model. The record is from RNAcentral.